Molecule: ribosomal RNA, 506 nt
Filed under: uncultured bacterium
Lineage: Bacteria
Description: partial 16S ribosomal RNA
Rfam family: Bacterial small subunit ribosomal RNA
Source: RNAcentral
AUUGAACGCUAACGGUAUGCUUAACACAUGCAAGUCGAACGGCAGCACGGUCGUAGCAAUACGAUGGGUGGCGAGUGGCGGACGGGUGAGUAAUGCAUAGGAAUCUGCCUUGUAGUGGGGGAUAACCCGGGGAAACUCGGGCUAAUACCGCAUAAUCUUUACGAAGCAAAGUGGGGGACCGUAAGGCCUCACGCUAUAAGAUGAGCCUAUGUCGGAUUAGCUAGUUGGUAGGGUAAAGGCCUACCAAGGCAACGAUCCGUAGCUGGUCUGAGAGGAUGAUCAGCCACACUGGGACUGAGACACGGCCCAGACUCCUACGGGAGGCAGCAGUGGGGAAUAUUGGACAAUGGGCGCAAGCCUGAUCCAGCAAUACCGUGUGUGUGAAGAAGGCCUUAGGGUUGUAAAGCACUUUUAGUGGGAAAGAAAAGCUCAUGGUUAAUAUCCAUGAGUGCUGACGUUACCCACAGAAAAAGCACUGGCUAACUCUGUGCCAGCCGCCGCCGUAA